This 313-nucleotide long non-coding RNA is filed under the name Pongo abelii (Sumatran orangutan). Its description in RNAcentral is "lincRNA". The record is from RNAcentral. Lineage: Eukaryota; Metazoa; Chordata; Mammalia; Primates; Hominidae.
CACCGAAGGCUUAAAGUAGGACAACCAUGGAGCCUUCCUGUGGCAAGAGAGACAACAAAGCGCUAUUAUCCUAAGCUUUUCCAGAAGCCUGUUAAAAGUCUCCCCACAAGCAACUUCUCUGCCACAUCGCCACCCCGUGCCUUUUGAUCUAGCACAGACCCUUCACCCCUCACCUCGAUGCAGCCGGUAGCUUGGAUCCUUGUGGGCAUGAUCCAUAAUCGGUUUCAAGGUAAUACCCUGAAACUGGUGUUUUGAGAAGCCCUACUGCUGAAAACUUAACAAUUUUAUGUAAUAAAAAUGGAGAAGCUCUAAA